GAUGAACGCUGGCGGCGUGCCUAAUACAUGCAAGUCGAGCGAACAGACGAGGAGCUUGCUCCUCUGACGUUAGCGGCGGACGGGUGAGUAACACGUGUAUAACCUACCUAUAAGACUGGUAUAACUUCGGGAAACCGGAUCUAAUACCGGAUAAUAUAUUGAACCGCAUGGUUCAAUAGUGAAAGACGGUUUUGCUGUCACUUAUAGAUGGAUCCGCGCCGCAUUAGCUAGUUGGUAAGGUAACGGCUUACCAAGGCGACGAUGCGUAGCCGACCUGAGAGGGUGAUCGGCCACACUGGAACUGAGACACGGUCCAGAGUCCUACGGGAGGCAGCAGUAGGGAAUCUUCCGCAAUGGGCGAAAGCUUGACGGAGCAACGCCGAGUGAGUGAUGAAGGUCUUCGGAUCGUAAAACUCUGUUAUUAGGGAAGAACAAAUGUGUAAGUAACUAUGCACGUCUUGACGGUACCUAAUCAGAAAGCCACGGCUAACUACGUG
This 497-nucleotide ribosomal RNA is filed under the name uncultured bacterium. RNAcentral describes it as "partial 16S ribosomal RNA". It matches the Rfam family "Bacterial small subunit ribosomal RNA", at positions 28 to 507 of the family's 1533-position model. The record is from RNAcentral.